This 252-nucleotide ribosomal RNA is filed under the name uncultured bacterium. RNAcentral describes it as "partial 16S ribosomal RNA". It matches the Rfam family "Bacterial small subunit ribosomal RNA", at positions 524 to 776 of the family's 1533-position model. The record is from RNAcentral.
UACGGAGGAUGCGAGCGUUAUCCGGACUUAUUGGGUUUAAAGGGUGCGUAGGCGGAGUGCCAAGUCAGCGGUAAAAAUUCGGGGCUCAACCCCGUCGUGCCGUUGAAACUGGCGCCCUUGAGUGGGCGAGAAGUAUGCGGAAUGCGUGGUGUAGCGGUGAAAUGCAUAGAUAUCACGCAGAACCCCGAUUGCGAAGGCAGCAUACCGGCGCCCGACUGACGCUGAAGCACGAAAGCGUGGGUAUCGAACAGG